This 349-nucleotide transfer-messenger RNA is filed under the name Candidatus Geddesella stercoravicola. It matches the Rfam family "transfer-messenger RNA". Rfam says of the family: Bacterial tmRNA, also known as 10Sa RNA or SsrA, is named for its dual tRNA and mRNA-like properties. The record is from RNAcentral. Lineage: Bacteria; Bacillati; Bacillota; Clostridia.
GGGGGCGUACUGGCUUUCGACGGAUAGAAUGAAGCUAAAUAAGCGGGUAGUGUAGCGGAAUCACUUAAAAACCGCAAAUUAAAAUUUAAACGCUAAUAAUAGACAAUUAGCAGCUGCCUAAUUUUCGGCGGCCGUCUUAUCCGAGAGCGCUGCGGCUCGGAAUAAGGCGUCACUUAGCAGCCACCGACCGAAAGGGAUUUCGGGACUUUUCGGUCGCCCUAUCCCGAAUAUAACUGACAGGAGUUUGUUUUUUGUUUCCUGUCAGCGGAAUUUAAACAAAAAACUACACUCGUAGAAAGUUUAGCGGACUUCUUUUCGGACAGGGGUUCAACUCCCCUCGCCUCCACCA